UUUCCCCAGCAAUCAUCCACCACCAGCACCACCUCAGACCCUACACACCCACCUGGAUAACAUCGUGCACCCGAUCCGGGCCUCCCAGACGGUCCACAAUCCCGCCUUUAUUAUUAAGUUCAUUAGCUGCCUUCUUAAAGCUGUCCUUACGCACCGUCCGCAAAGCCUGUAGUAACCGGAAGGGGAACGGGCAUUUGCGGCACCAGCAAUCACAUACAUUAACAGUAGAA
Molecule: long non-coding RNA, 230 nt
Filed under: Volvox carteri
Lineage: Eukaryota; Viridiplantae; Chlorophyta; Chlorophyceae; Chlamydomonadales; Volvocaceae
Description: long non-coding RNA (VCAR_LNC001129)
Source: RNAcentral